AGAGUUUGAUCAUGGCUCAGAACGUACGCUGGCGGCACGCCUAACACAUGCAAGUCGAACGAAGUAGCAAUACUUAGUGGCAGACGGGUGAGUAACAUGUAGGUAUCUACCCUUUGGCCUGGAAUAACACGAGGAAACUUGUGCUAAUACCGGAUAAGUCUUUACGGAGAAAGCUUUAUGCACCAUUGGAUGAGCCUGCACUUGAUUAGUUUGUUGGUGGGGUAAUGGCCUACCAAGACUGUGAUCAAUAGCUGAUUUGAGAGGAUGAUCAGCCACAUUGGGACUGAGACACGGCCCAAACUCCUACGGGAGGCAGCAGUGGGGAAUCUUGCACAAUGGAGGAAACUCUGAUGCAGCGAUGCCGCGUGAGUGAAGAAGGCCUUUGGGUUGUAAAGCUCUUUCGUCGGGGAAGAAAAUGACUGUACCCGAAUAAGAAGGUCCGGCUAACUUCGUGCCAGCAGCCGCGGUAAUACGAAGGGACCUAGCGUAGUUCGGAAUUACUGGGCUUAAAGAGUUCGUAGGUGGUUGAAAAAGUUGGUGGUGAAAUCCCAGAGCUUAACUCUGGAACUGCCAUCAAAACUUUUCAGCUAGAGUAUGAUAGAGGAAAGCAGAAUUUCUAGUGUAGAGGUGAAAUUCGUAGAUAUUAGAAAGAAUACCAAUUGCGAAGGCAGCUUUCUGGAUCAUUACUGACACUGAGGAACGAAAGCAUGGGUAGCGAAGAGGAUUAGAUACCCUCGUAGUCCAUGCCGUAAACGAUGUGUGUUAGACGUUGGAAAUUUAUUUUCAGUGUCGCAGCGAAAGCGAUAAACACACCGCCUGGGGAGUACGACCGCAAGGUUAAAACUCAAAUGAAUUGACGGGGACCCGCACAAGUAGUGGAGCAUGUGGUUUAAUUCGAAGAUACGCGCAGAACCUUACCAACACUUGACAUGUUCGUCGCGACUCUAAGAGAUUAGAGUUUUCGGUUCGGCCGGACGAAACACAGGUGCUGCAUGGCUGUCGUCAGCUCGUGUCGUGAGAUGUUGGGUUAAGUCCCGCAACGAGCGCAACCCUCACUUUUAGUUGCCAUCAUUAAGUUGGGCACUCUGAAAGAACUGCCAGUGAUAAGCUGGAGGAAGGUGGGGAUGACGUCAAGUCCUCAUGGCCCUUACGUGUUGGGCUACACACGUGCUACAAUGGUAUCUACAACAGGAAGCAAGACUGCGAAGUUAAGCAAAUCCUUAAAAGAUACCUCAGUUCGGAUUGCACUCUGCAACUCGAGUGCAUGAAGCUGGAAUUACUAGUAAUCGUGGAUCAGCGUGCCACGGUGAAUGCGUUCCCGGGUCUUGUACACACCGCCCGUCACACCAUGGGAGUUGGUUCUACCUUAAGGCAAGGUUUUAAACCCUUGACCACGGUAUAGUCAGCGACUGGGGUGAAGUCAUAACAAGGUAACCGUA
RNAcentral lists this ribosomal RNA (1439 nucleotides) under uncultured bacterium. RNAcentral's name for it is "bacterial SSU rRNA". It matches the Rfam family "Bacterial small subunit ribosomal RNA". The record is from RNAcentral.